UGCUACAAUGAUGACUAUUUAUUUGCUACUCUUGACUGCCAGAAUGACGAGAGUACUUACCACCAUUAUCUUGACUGAGGCA
Molecule: small nucleolar RNA, 82 nt
Filed under: Carlito syrichta (Philippine tarsier)
Lineage: Eukaryota; Metazoa; Chordata; Mammalia; Primates; Tarsiidae
Description: Small nucleolar RNA SNORD24 (ENSTSYG00000020275.2)
Rfam family: Small nucleolar RNA SNORD24
About the family: U24 is a member of the C/D class of snoRNA which contain the C (UGAUGA) and D (CUGA) box motifs. C/D box snoRNAs have been shown to act as methylation guides for a number of RNA targets.
Source: Rfam by way of RNAcentral